AUGAACGCUGGCGGCGUGCCUAAUACAUGCAAGUCGCACGAAACUUCUUUAUCACCGAGUGCUUGCACUCACCGAUAAAGAAUUGAGUGGCGAACGGGUGAGUAACACGUGGGUAACCUGCCCAAAAGAGGGGGAUAACACUUGGAAACAGGUGCUAAUACCGCAUAACCAUAGUUACCGCAUGGUAACUAUGUAAAAGGUGGCUAUACUACCGCUUUUGGAUGGGCCCGCGGCGCAUUAGCUAGUUGGUAGGGUAAAGGCUUACCAAGGCAAUGAUGCGUAGCCGAAUUGAGAGGUUGAUCGGCCACAUUGGGACUGAGACACGGCCCAAACUCCUACGGGAGGCAGCAGUAGGGAAUCUUCCACAAUGGGCGAAAGCCUGAUGGAGCAACGCCGCGUGGGUGAAGAAGGUCUUCGGAUCGUAAAACCCUGUUGUUAGAGAAGAAAGUGCGUGAGAGUAACUGUUCACGUUUCGACGGUAUCUAACCAGAAAGCCACGGCUAACUACGUG
Molecule: ribosomal RNA, 511 nt
Filed under: uncultured bacterium
Lineage: Bacteria
Description: partial 16S ribosomal RNA
Rfam family: Bacterial small subunit ribosomal RNA
Source: RNAcentral